Non-coding RNA from Nerophis lumbriciformis (worm pipefish), 1888 nucleotides. Lineage: Eukaryota; Metazoa; Chordata; Actinopteri; Syngnathiformes; Syngnathidae. The record is from RefSeq and is a predicted model, not a curated record.
UACAUCCCUUUGCUCUCAUCUGUCAAGAUGCUAGACUUCUCCUCUCUGACACCACCGCCAGAGAGUCUAGCUCCACUCCCACCACGUUACUGGCCUUCUCUACCAACUUGUCCAGUCUGUUUGCGUCCCUCGCGCUCAGCCCGCUGCCCCAGCAGGCCAUGGUGUACAAGAAGGCGCCUGCCACCACCGACUCGUAGAACAUCUUCUAUUCUAUUCUAUUCUAUUAUCAUUCUAUUUUUCCUGACCAAGUUUCCAUUGUGACUUGGACAUGACAUACUAGACUCACUUUUUGCCUGAAAAUGUAUACGAAUACCCUUAAUAUCAGUAACGGUCAACAUUUGCUGUCUUACAGAUUAAUGAAGCGUUCCGAAGGUGCACUGCUGUUCCACUGGAAUCAACAUUUAUGUCCCAACUGGACAGGUACACUCCAAAACUCCUGGAGCUCUUCAGUGCAAAAGGAGGAGUGACUGCAGCGCAUCAAGAACUUGUUGAUGGAACUGACACAGGACCCAAGUGCCUCUGCAGUGAAGAAGAGAGAUGUGACUGUGAGAUGCCUCAUAGAGUUACAUGGGAGAGAGUGGACAGGAGCUAAUCUCUGACUACUGGAACUGCAGAGACCACUGUUCAUGAGGACCUGGAAAUGAAGAAUAUGAGCAUCUACAUCUGUCGUGAGCCAAAUGCAGUAGGAAUCAUCAUUGAGGGAGUACCAGUCCUUACUCAUCUUGGAAACCUGGCCAAAGCAUGCUGCCUACUUCUGGGGUUGACGUAUGCACUUAAUCUUGAGUAUCCAUCCAAACUUACCAAAACAUUUGAGGUGUUUCAAAGACUUUUUGUGGGACUUGACACACUGCGCCCAAAACCAACCCCCAAAUUCAUGACUCUCAAAAACAAGCUUCUAGCUUAGGCAGUGAGCCAUGACUGUCAGCUUGCACUUUUGAACAGCUAUUUUCUUGUGUCUGUUCAAAAUCAUUAUACAUUGUUCAUUGAGUGGAAUUCUUCAGAAUGUUGUAAGGGUUUGUCCUGUUCAGGUUUUAAAGUUAAAGUUAAAGUUAAAGUACCAAUGAUUGUCACACACACACUAGGUGUGGCGAAAUUAUUCUCUGCAUUUGACCCAUCACCCUUGAUCACCCCCUGGGAGGUGAGGGGAGCAGUGGGCAGCAGCGGUGGCCGCGCCCUGGAAUCAUUUUUUUGGUGAUUUAACCCCCAAUUCCAACCCUUGAUACUGAGUGCCAAGCAGGGAGGUAAUGGGUCCCAUUUUUAUAGUCUUUGGUAUGACUCGGCCGGGGUUUGAACCCACAACCUACCGAUCUCAGGGCGGACACUCUAACCACUAGGCCACUGAGUAGGUUAUACAAAGCUCCAGGUCAUCGUUUCUGGUGUGUAAAUUAAGUUUUUUUUAUGUUUUAUACACACUAAAUUGCCCCACUGUGAAGCUCCAGCUGGUCAGAAGGAGGGAUCUGUGAGUUUUUUAAGUUCAAAUGUUUCAAAAUAUACACACUGAAAGACACUACAGUGAAGGUGUUCUGCUUGUGAAUUGUUACAGAAGUACAGAUAAUCUUAAUAUUAAAUUGUUUUAGCAAGAAACUAUACUGUGAAUGUUCUAAGUAAAACUUGAGAUGCUGAGGUCAUGCAUUCUUUUAUGCACUAAAUACUGAUGUUCUUGACUGUUAAUACUGUCCAGCUUAUUGACAGGUUUGGAUAUGGCUUGUGAAAAUGUUUUAAUAUGUAUACGGUUAAAAAAAGAAAACUACUGUGAAGGUGUUCUAUACAGCACUUUAAAAAGUUGAGGUCAUGCAUUCUUGUAUAAUAUGGAUGUUGACUGUUCAUACUGUCCAGCUCAUUGCCACUGUUUUUAUAUGGUAAUGAUUUAAUAAAGGUUGGAAUUUGA